UUAAUGGAGAGUUUGAUCCUGGCUCAGGACGAACGCUGGCGGCGUGCCUAAUACAUGCAAGUCGAGCGGGGUUGUUUAGAAGCUUGCUUCUAAUUAACCUAGCGGCGGACGGGUGAGUAACACGUAGGCAACCUGCCCACAAGACAGGGAUAACUACCGGAAACGGUAGCUAAUACCCGAUACAUCCUUUUCCUGCAUGGGA
This 202-nucleotide ribosomal RNA is filed under the name Paenibacillus jamilae. RNAcentral's name for it is "partial 16S ribosomal RNA". It matches the Rfam family "Bacterial small subunit ribosomal RNA", at positions 1 to 195 of the family's 1533-position model. RNAcentral also lists the same sequence under 1 other name. The record is from RNAcentral. Lineage: Bacteria; Bacillati; Bacillota; Bacilli; Caryophanales; Paenibacillaceae.